Molecule: ribosomal RNA, 622 nt
Filed under: uncultured cyanobacterium
Lineage: Bacteria; Bacillati; Cyanobacteriota
Description: bacterial SSU rRNA
Rfam family: Bacterial small subunit ribosomal RNA
Source: RNAcentral
AGAGUUUGAUCAUGGCUCAGGAUGAACGCUGGCGGCGUGCUUAACACAUGCAAGUCGAACGAACCUUCGGGUUAGUGGCGGACGGGUGAGUAACGCGUGGGAAUCUGCCCUCAGGAGGGGGAUAACGGCUGGAAACGGCCGCUAAUACCCCAUAUGCCGCGAGGUGAAAUGAAUUUCGCCUGAGGAUGAGCCCGCGUCUGAUUAGCUAGUUGGUGGGGUAAAGGCCUACCAAGGCAUCGAUCAGUAGCUGGUCUGAGAGGAUGAUCAGCCACACUGGGACUGAGACACGGCCCAGACUCCUACGGGAGGCAGCAGUGGGGAAUUUUCCGCAAUGGGCGAAAGCCUGACGGAGCAACGCCGCGUGAGGGAUGAAGGCCUCUGGGCUGUAAACCUCUUUUAUCAAGGAAGAAGAUCUGACGGUACUUGAUGAAUAAGCCACGGCUAAUUCCGUGCCAGCAGCCGCGGUAAUACGGGAGUGGCAAGCGUUAUCCGGAAUUAUUGGGCGUAAAGCGUCCGCAGGCGGCCUUUCAAGUCUGCUGUUAAAACGUGGAGCUUAACUCCAUCAUGGCAGUGGAAACUGUUGGGCUUGAGUGUGGUANGGGCAGANGGAAUUCCCGGUGUA